Molecule: transfer RNA, 75 nt
Filed under: Canis lupus familiaris (dog)
Lineage: Eukaryota; Metazoa; Chordata; Mammalia; Carnivora; Canidae
Also listed under: 2 other names
Rfam family: tRNA
About the family: Transfer RNA (tRNA) molecules are approximately 80 nucleotides in length. Their secondary structure includes four short double-helical elements and three loops (D, anti-codon, and T loops). Further hydrogen bonds mediate the characteristic L-shaped molecular structure. tRNAs have two regions of fundamental functional importance: the anti-codon, which is responsible for specific mRNA codon recognition, and the 3' end, to which the tRNAs corresponding amino acid is attached (by aminoacyl-tRNA synthetases). tRNAs cope with the degeneracy of the genetic code in two manners: having more than one tRNA (with a specific anti-codon) for a particular amino acid; and 'wobble' base-pairing, i.e. permitting non-standard base-pairing at the 3rd anti-codon position.
Source: Rfam by way of RNAcentral
GCCUAGGUGGCUCAGUGGUUGAGCCUUUGCCUUCAGCUCAGAAAAUUUAUUUAUUUUCAAAUAAAUCCCUGGGCU